Molecule: long non-coding RNA, 914 nt
Organism: Oncorhynchus keta (chum salmon)
Lineage: Eukaryota; Metazoa; Chordata; Actinopteri; Salmoniformes; Salmonidae
Exons: 3
Source: RefSeq, a predicted model, not a curated record
CCUCUUGGGAGACGGAGUUCCACUUCUACCACAGAGAGGAAGGGAGGACACAACAAUAAACACACUGACAUUUUGACUGAUGGCGAUCGGCUGCUGCUCAUAAUAAUGUCUGGAACAGAGAGACAAUGGAAUGGCAUCAAACUCAGGGAGCGACGGCUAGCCUAGUGGUUAGAGUGUAGGGGCGGCAGGUAGCCUAGUGGUUAGAGCGUAGAGGCGGCAGGUAGCCUAGUGGUUAGAGCGUAGAGGCGGCAGGUAGCCUAGUGGUUAGAGCGUAGAGGCGGCAGGUAGCCUAGUGGUUAGAGCGUAGAGGCGGCAGGUAGCCUAGUGGUUAGAGCGUAGAGGCGGCAGGUAGCCUAGUGGUUAGAGCGUAGAGGCGGCAGGUAGCCUAGUGGUUAGAGCGUAGAGGCGGCAGGUAGCCUAGUGGUUAGAGCGUAGAGGCGGCAGGUAGCCUAGUGGUUAGAGCGUAGAGGCGGCAGGUAGCCUAGUGGUUAGAGCGUAGAGGCGGCAGGUAGCCUAGUGGUUAGAGCGUAGAGGCGGCAGGUAGCCUAGUGGUUAGAGCGUAGAGGCGGCAGGUAGACUAGUGGUUAGAGCGUAGAGGCGGCAGGAAGCCUAGUGGUUGGAGCGUUGGGCAAGUAACCUAAAGGGUUGCUGGAUUGAAUCCCCGAGCUGACAAGGUAAAAAUCUAUCGUUCUGCCCCUGAACAAGGCAGUUAACUCACUGUUCCUUGGUAGGCCGUCAUUGUAAAUAAGAAUGUGUUCUUGACUGACUUGACGAGUUAAAUAAAAAGGUAAAAUAAAAUAAAUAAAAGAAAAAAAAGAUACCAUUCCACUGAUUCCACUCCAGCCAUUACAACGAGCCCAUCCUCCCAAAUGAAGGUGCCACCAACCCCCUGUGAUUACAGUCAAGACAACAGA